AGUCCUUCUUUUAGACUAUUUUGGAUGCUCUCCUGCUAAUUGUAUAUUGCACUUAUCUGUGUGAGACUCUUAAUAUUUACUUGUGUACUUGUCCAAAGUUCUGUUUUAAGGUGCUGACUUUAUUGUGACUAAUUUUUUCAAAAGAUGGUCCUGCUUGCUGGUUGCCUGUUUUUCUACUGAGGAGAAAUGUCUGUUUGAGCUAUUUUGUAUUCCUUGCAAUUCCAUAUGAAUUUGGAAAAGGCUUGUCAAUUUCUACAAUGAAGUCCACUAGGAAUCUGAUGGAUCCUGCUUUGAAUCUAGAGAUUACAAGUAGGCAGAGAGGCAGGCAGAGAAAGAGGGAAGCAGACUCCUUGCUGAGCAGAGAGCCCAAUGCAAUCCCAGGACCCUGAGAUCAUGACCUGAGCUGAAGGCAGAGGCUUUACCCACUGAGCCACCCAGGUGCCCCUACCAUGUAAUUGGCCAAGGUGGCAGGUGAGGACACUGAUAUCCCUCAGCUUCUAGAAGGUAUGUUCUCAGCUACUGAUGCAAAAAUCAGGGCAUUGAUAUGUCCAUCAGGAGACACCUGGUACAGUGGGAAAAACAAAGAACUUGGAGACUAAAACCCGUAGCCUUCCAUCCCAGCUGAAGGUCGGUGGCCACAUUACCGGAUGUCUCUGAACUUGCCACUCUCUUCCAGGGUUGUCUUGGGAAUUUGAAGAAGUAAGUAGCGCAUAAAGCCGUCUAUGAAGAUUCUGGACUUCUUUUAACUUUUUUCUCCUUCCCUUACACCUAAGACUCUAACCACCUUUGGGAUUUUCACUUAAUAAAAGCAAGCAGAAUUAAUUUGAGUAAUUUUGCUCCAACCAUUCACAGGUAGAUCCAUAUGACACACCCUAUUUGUGGACCACUCAAAAGUCACUCCUAGCCCCCUUUCUUCCAAUCAGUUCUUGCUCUAGAGGCAGGAGCAAAUACUUGUUAGUAGAGACUGUGCAAGACAGUUCUGUCCCAUUCAUGAUUGCAUGCUGCAACGCAUUAUUCAAUAGAAAGUAUAUGGCCAUCUGGUAUGUGCCAAACACUCUUCUGGCCACCGGGGGAGAUGGAAAAAAUAUGUAUAUAUGUUAGAUAAUGCUUUGCAAAAAUAGUAAAGUAAAACACAGAAAGGAAUGGUGGAAGGGAAGUGGAAUUAUGAAUAGGGUGGUCAGGGAAGGUCUCACUGCAAAGCUGAAAUGUGCACAAAGCCUGAAGGAGGUGAGGAGCCAGCCAUAUAGUGACAGAGGGGAAAAGCAUACCAAGUGGAGGGAACAAGAGAUACAAAGGGGAGGCCUGGCCUUCUUAAAAUAGUGGGAGUCACUGUGGCUAGCGUGGAAUGUACAAAGAUUGUGUUGUCAAAGAGGGAUCAGAGUGGAAAUAAGAUAGCCAGAUCACAUGGGCCUCAUAAGCCCCUCUGAGGAGUCUGGAGUUAGCUCUGGGUGUGCUGGGAAGAUAUUGGGGCUUGGAGCAGAGAGAAGCCAUUUUUGAAUUUUACUUUAAUGUCCUCACUCUGCUUGGUAUAUUGGGAAAGGACAGGAUGAAUCAAGGAGAAGGAGGUGGGUGAGAACUGGAAGACAUUAGGGUGAUAUGAUGGUGACUUGACCAAGGAUAACAGUGGAAGUAUGUGGUCAUCAGCUGGAGGCUUCAAGAAAAGGUGUUGAUUUCCUAAUAAAAAGAAACAGAUCAUACUAAAUGGAUUCUUUUCCCUUUACUCUUCUUGAUGAAUGUGAUGACCUGACUGGUAGCAUCCAUCUUUGGUUCAAAAACAUGCUAAGACCCUGACCAGGGGCAUUGUCGAUCCCCCAACCAAGAGCAGCGAUUGUUCAUGUCUAGACUUCUUGUACUGUGAAUAAACAAAGCUCUGUUGAGUGUAUCUUCAGGAGCACAGUGCCCUCCGUGAUGCCCUCCUCCUCCUGCCCUUCUUCCUCAGGAGCCCAGCCAUCUGAAAACGAUCUGAAAGGCCAGGCUCCAAACUUCUCCAAGGAAGCAAAGAGCCCCUGUGUGACUGCAGGAGGAAGAGAUCAGAAACAUAUUCUCUCCUAAUCUCCCUUCAUCUGAGCUAAUUUUCAAAUGGACAAAGUAAUCAAUUCACGUGAUAAAUAUAGCUCAUUCAAUGGGCUGAAUGAGUGGCCGGAACAAUCCCCCAAACUUUGGUGUCCAUUGAAUAAUUGAAAUUAUGCUACGGCAUGGAAAUUUUUCAACAAAUAAAAUAUGUCUGAAAAUCUAUUAAAGAUACGUCUGCAAGAAUCAUUUGCAAAAGCCUAACUCAGCAAUAAAAAAUAAAUUACGUUUCCGUUCUUGCUGCCGUUCUCUUUGGGAAAGAGCAUGUUACUACCACUCCGUGGGCAGAGGGAGCCCGUGCAU
Long non-coding RNA from Mustela lutreola (European mink), 2373 nucleotides. RefSeq lists it as uncharacterized. Lineage: Eukaryota; Metazoa; Chordata; Mammalia; Carnivora; Mustelidae. The transcript is spliced from 4 exons. The record is from RefSeq and is a predicted model, not a curated record.